GGCUUAGAGUUUGAUCAUGGCUCAGGACGAACGCUGGCGGCGCGCCUAACACAUGCAAGUCGAACGGGGUUGAGAGGAGCUUGCUUUUCUUGACUUAGUGGCGAACGGGUGAGUAACGCGUGAGGAACCUGCCUCAAAGAGGGGGACAACAGUUGGAAACGACUGCUAAUACCGCAUAAGCCCACAGUCUCGCAUGAGACAGAGGGAAAAGGAGCAAUCCGCUUUGAGAUGGCCUCGCGUCCGAUUAGCUAGUUGGUGAGGUAACGGCCCACCAAGGCGACGAUCGGUAGCCGGACUGAGAGGUUGAACGGCCACAUUGGGACUGAGACACGGCCCAGACUCCCACGGGAGGCAGCAGUGGGGAAUAUUGCACAAUGGGGGAAACCCUGAUGCAGCGACGCCGCGUGGAGGAAGAAGGUCUUCGGAUUGUAAACUCCUGUUGUUGGGGAAAAAGAGGAUGGUACCCAACAAGGAAGUGACGGCUAACUACGUGCCAGCAGCCGCGGUAAAACGUAGGUCACAAGCGUUGUCCGGAAUUACUGGGUGUAAAGGGAGCGCAGGCGGGUAUGCAAGUUGGGAGUGAAAUACAUGGGCUCAACCCAUGAACUGCUCUCAAAACUGUGUAUCUUGAAGUAGUGGAGAAGGUAGGCGG
RNAcentral lists this ribosomal RNA (652 nucleotides) under uncultured organism. Its description in RNAcentral is "bacterial SSU rRNA". It matches the Rfam family "Bacterial small subunit ribosomal RNA", at positions 1 to 664 of the family's 1533-position model. The record is from RNAcentral.